RNAcentral lists this ribosomal RNA (433 nucleotides) under uncultured bacterium. RNAcentral's name for it is "bacterial SSU rRNA". It matches the Rfam family "Bacterial small subunit ribosomal RNA", at positions 958 to 1392 of the family's 1533-position model. The record is from RNAcentral.
AACGCGAAGAACCUUACCUAGACUUGACAUCUCCUGCAUUACCCUUAAUCGGGGAAGUUCCUUCGGGGACAGGAAGACAGGUGGUGCAUGGUUGUCGUCAGCUCGUGUCGUGAGAUGUUGGGUUAAGUCCCGCAACGAGCGCAACCCUUGCCUUUAGUUGCCAGCAUUAAGUUGGGCACUCUAGAGGGACUGCCAGGGAUAACCUGGAGGAAGGUGGGGAUGACGUCAAAUCAUCAUGCCCCUUAUGCUUAGGGCUACACACGUGCUACAAUGGGUGGUACAGAGGGCAGCCAAGUCGUGAGGCGGAGCUAAUCCCUUAAAGCCAUUCUCAGUUCGGAUUGUAGGCUGAAACUCGCCUACAUGAAGCUGGAGUUACUAGUAAUCGCAGAUCAGAAUGCUGCGGUGAAUGCGUUCUCGGGUCUUGUACACACCG